GCCACUUUAGCUCAGUUGGUAGAGCAGCGCAUUCGUAAUGCGCGGGUCGGGAGUUCGAGUCUCCUGAGUGGCU
This 73-nucleotide transfer RNA is filed under the name Bacteroidetes bacterium GWF2_35_48. RNAcentral describes it as "tRNA-Thr". It matches the Rfam family "tRNA". Rfam says of the family: Transfer RNA (tRNA) molecules are approximately 80 nucleotides in length. RNAcentral also lists the same sequence under 4 other names. Lineage: Bacteria; Pseudomonadati; Bacteroidota. The record is from RNAcentral.